UUCCUUCUCUUGCACGACAACAGUUAAUAUCCAUCUUCACAUAUGGUUGGGAAAACAGAAUCCAAAAGAAAAAAAUUGUUAGAGAUACUAUUAGCUAGCUUUCCUUCUCUUUCACAACAGCUAAUUUCAAUCUAAUCUCUCAUCUCUCACAUUGGAGAUCUGUUUUGCACAAAAGAGAUACAAAUAGCUUUCCUUCUAUUACGUGGAAGCAGUUAAUUUCCAUCUAAUCUCUCAUCUCUCACGUUCAUGAAUUUUGUGUGCAGAUUCCUGGAUCGCUUCUCUCUCGAACUCUGGAGCGGCCGCUGCAUGCCCUACUAGAAGCAGCUGAUCAUCAUCUCUCUCACAUGUCAAGGAUGGAGGUAUGUAUGGAUGUGGUGCAGCGGCAUGACGAAUAUAGGGCCAAACCCUAGAGCUUCAUGGUCCAACUGGGGUCCUAUCCUUUGCCAUGCCCACCGGUACUGCCAUAACUUUGUCAAUUAAAGUCUUCACCCAGAUGUACUUCUGAAUCAUGCUAAUUAACCUCACCAUGUAAGCUGCCGCACACAUCAAGAUCCAUCAAUAAAUCAAAGAAGAGUUCCUUCAGCCUCCUACUCCAUGCCAUGGGUUCGUCAUUGCAGCGCCCAGCUGUACAAUACGUAUAGUUUGGUGCAGCCGUGUUGCUGAAUGGAAGCAUAUAUUGUUUUUUUGCCUUUGCCUAUUACUCUCCGAUGAUGAACAACCUUGACCUGUGAUUAUUUGAUGCCUGCAGAACAUGCACAGAUACUUAGAAAGGAUCAAUGCAAGAACGAUUUCAUGGUCGGUGCUUUAAUUAGCUAGCAGCCAAACACAUACGUACAUGUACCCCAGCUGCGCAAGCAGGCAGGUCGAUUGAUUCUGGCGUGAAGGAGCCUCCGCAGCAAAUGCUUUGGGCAGCAGGAGACGCUAUGUUUUGUUCUGUAAAUUCUCCCACAUCAAGUCUAACUGGUAUAUCACGUGUCGAUCCUUUGCCUAGACAAAAACAUGGCAGGAGGCUAUAGCUUUUCAAAUUAUCUCCACUAGAUUUUUUUUUUUGCGGGGGUUCUGCUAUUUAUUUCCACUAUAUUUACAUUUUAAUAAAUAGAAAUAAGAUGAAUAUCGGCUACAAUGCAGAAGUCAGAUUUCCAUUCAUUUGUAUGUACUAUUUGGUUAUAAAGGAUUUCAUUUAAGCAAAUAAUUUUUCAACUAUGUGUAUUACGAAUACUAGAUGCAUUGCGUCACUAUUCUCCUGCUGCAUUGUGAUAUUUUGACGACUACAAACUGUUGUAAGUAUAAUCAAAUUACUCGACAACCAUGAGUAUUGUUGCCCGUAAUAUCUACCGACUAUUGCUCCUGUUUUUUUAUAAAUUUUACUCGCUUUGACGCCACUUAUGCAGAUCAACUCAACGUGU
Molecule: long non-coding RNA, 1406 nt
Filed under: Hordeum vulgare
Lineage: Eukaryota; Viridiplantae; Streptophyta; Magnoliopsida; Poales; Poaceae
Description: long non-coding RNA (HVUL_LNC020498)
Source: RNAcentral